UACGUAGGGGGCUAGCGUUGUCCGGAUUUAUUGGGCGUAAAGAGCGUGUAGGCGGCCAGGUAGGUCUGCUGUGAAAACUCGAGGCUCAACCUCGAGACGUCGGCGGAAACCAUCUGGCUAGAGUCCGGAAGAGGAGAGUGGAAUUCCACGUGUAGCAGUGAAAUGCGUAGAGAUGUGGAGGAACACCGAUGGCGAAGGCAGCCCCCUGGGUUAACACUGACGCUCAGGCACGAAAGCGUGGGGAGCAAACAGG
Molecule: ribosomal RNA, 253 nt
Filed under: uncultured bacterium
Lineage: Bacteria
Description: partial 16S ribosomal RNA
Rfam family: Bacterial small subunit ribosomal RNA
Source: RNAcentral